AGCUUAUGAACAGUACCUCCCUUAGUAACAGUGUACUGCCCAUUUUACCCCUGCUUUUUUCUGGUAUUUUUGCAUGCAUGGUUGCCCCCGAAUCCCCGAGACAGGUGUUUUGCAACCUGUUGCGCCGGGUCUGCGUGUUUGCUCUCCAAGAGGACAGUUGUUUCUUUGCAUCUUCAAAAGAGCGAAAAAGAGAGCGAGGGCAUGCUUCUUUGCUUCGCACGGAGAGAGAGAAAGGGAACGAUCAAGUUUUGGUUGGAAUUCAAAUAGGGAACUGAGCUUCCAAAAUCGACGAUUCUCGAGCCAAUCAAUAGUUCGGGUCCGGCGCCGACAAUACUUCCAAUACUGAGUAGUUUGGUGGUGGUCCUCGAGCAGCUCAACCGACAAUGACACUAAUGACACAAAGAAAGUUGGUGCUGAAGAAGAUUUUUACGAUUUUCUUAGGUGGCUUGAAAGAUAUGAAAUGGAAGCCCAAGGUGUGGAUCCCAAGAGGGGUUGGGGAUUUCGUGGUAUGCACAAGAUAUACUUAGGAUGACGGUACAAAUUUUGAGCUGCCAAAGUUUGAUAAUGAAAAUAUAAUCUUUGAGCUUUUAUGGGAGUGUAGGCUACGUGUCUUAAGUGUUUGUGAUAUAUGUACAGAGUUUGCUAUUCUGUAUCCUUUUGAUCAUCGAGGAAUUGUGAUAUUUGUAUUUGUCCGCACUCUGCAGUACAUCAAUCCUAUUAUCAAGAAUUCACAACAUCGUUUGAAUGGGAACUUUUAUAUGUAAUAGAGAGGGUUUUGACUCUUCCAUGUUUAUAUGUGUGACUAUGAAUGUUCUGUUGCUUUUUCCACCUGUGGUGUGUAUACAGUGCAGUCAUUCCCUCUCCCAUGUUGGUUCAUAUUUCAAAAAACCUUCUACUUACAUACGGUAUCGCUAAUAUAAGUUAAAUAUUCUUGCUGAGCUGCUGUGUUUUGGAGAUCGAGAGUUCUAUAAAGAUUGCUAGAAUGCAAAAUCAGUUGACGAGGUAGGUUCUCUGUCCUGUGAAAUGCAUUAGUAGUUCGUCCUCUUACAGAUCUUUGCUGACAUGAAAUUUCUGACCAUUGACUUUUGUUGUACGGCUCUUCUGGCUUCUUGGCUGCAUCAGUAUUGCUUAGGCCCCAUUGAUUAGAUUACUCAAUAUCUCUGUUUUUCUUAUUCAAAUCUUCAAAUUUAGAUACCACAAUAUUUUUUUCUUGGUCCCAAUUUUCUGUUUCUAAUAAUAUCAGAAGAAAACAAAGACCUUAGAUACAGAUAAAAUAUCAAGAAGAAAACAAAAACCUUAGAUACAGAUAAAUCAGAUGCAAACUAUAUAUAAACAGUGGUCAAUUUCUAAUGCCUUCUCCAAUAACAUUGAUUAAGGAGAUUAAUGCUCUAAAGUCUAAAACAUAUUUUCUUUUAAGAAUUACCUCCUCUUAUUUGUAUUUCUAAAUUAAAGUUCUCAUUAGAGAAAUGACCAAAAUAUUACUUCUGCUAUUGUGUCUGUUUGAUAUUAAAUAGGGUUGGAAGGAAAGUGCUUCUUAUAUGUUACUGUUUGAUCAUAUUCAAGAUUACAUUUCAACGGCAACUUCAGUCACUCUUUUCUUCUCUUACCAUCCAAUCUUUCAGUGGCAGCCCCCAGAUCAACAGCAGAUGAUGAUGAUACAUCUGAAGAACUUAUAUAUAGUAAUACCAGCGUCUGCUAAAAAUUUUUACUUUUGAAAUAUGUAAAUAUGCAAGUUUGGUUAAAACACCAGCUUUUGUACUAUGGAAGGGAUAACAUUUCUUAGCUUAUGAUUGUGAAUCUAUUACGUACAAUGGUACAAUUUAGAGAGAGAAAAAAAAAAAGAGCUAACCCGCAGCAUCGCAUGGGGAAAAUAUUAAGUAAGAACAUGUUUUUCGUUUCAUAUAGACACAUCAUGGUUAUCUUUGUCAACCAAAAACUUAAAACCAAACAUAAAGAGGUUAAAGUAGAAAAUCCGCCCCGCAGCAUCGCGCGGGCUCUCAUGCUAGUCUAACAUAAUGUUACAGUAGAGUUAAGCUGUACAAUGAUAUUUCAAUUAUUAAUAAUAAUUUCGGGCGUGGGGCUGAGCCUUCCAGUUAGGUUGGGUUCCAAACCUUUAAAAAAAAAAAAAAUUAACCAGUAACCUGACGCUAGUAGAGAAGAAUUCAAACACGACUUUCCCUAAUAUAUUGAGAACCCAAAAAUCUUAGGCCCCCAUCCACCUGGGUCCUAAAUAUGGGACCAAAAGUGAGCGGGCCUAACUAACACAGCCCAUCCAAAACCAACGAGCCCUAAUGCAGCCUAAUGCAGCCUAUGACACUAGAAAACAUGCCCAAGCCCAGGCCCCUGAAAAAAGUGCUCAGGGCACCCAAACCACCAUUCCGGCGCUGCCAUGCUGAGCCACGCCACCGUCGGAGUCCACCAUCUCAAUCAGCAUCUGCGACUUUCGUCCUCUCCAGGUAAUUGUCGCCACCUAGGACUCGGAGCCACCACCAGCCCACGAAGAUCUCUAAUCUUGGAACAAAACGAGGAACACGUACCAUGAGGCCAUACAACCCAAAGCACAAUCGCCGCCAUCAAACCAGACUGGAUCAGACCCAGCCACCACACGCCACUAAACACCAUCAAACUCCCAGAUCAGAAACCAUUCCGACCUCCACCGUCCACAGCUACCAAUAGAGGGCAUACCCGGUUACCAUUGCGACAACUCUACCUUCCCCGUGAAAGAGAAUAAGCAGAACUAGGAUCCCAAAUUCGAUCUUCUUCUUUUUUUUUUUUUUUUUCCAUAGACCUGCAUCGUAGAGAGACCUUGUUUGGAGAAAUACCCUCAAACACACGAUCUCCCCUCUAGCACGACCAUGAAGUUUCAAACGGCAAGCCAAUAAGAACAGGAUUCCAAACCCACAUGUUGAACAAAAGGGAAGCACGACCUCGAGGAGGGCGACAGAAAGGCUUCACGAGGGGAAGAAAUCUCAUCGGAUGCCAAGGAUCUCGACGAGCAAAACCCUAGAGAUAGGGUUUUCCACCUCUAGCAGAAGAGAAGGAGGAGAGCUCUCAUCUCAUAGCUAACCUCCAGUUUAA
This is a long non-coding RNA of Rosa rugosa (rugosa rose), 3078 nucleotides long. RefSeq lists it as uncharacterized. The transcript has 3 exons. The record is from RefSeq and is a predicted model, not a curated record. Lineage: Eukaryota; Viridiplantae; Streptophyta; Magnoliopsida; Rosales; Rosaceae.